UUUUAAAGAUAUAGUUUCAGAAUGUAGUCGUUUUGCAUCCGUCAAGCUUGCCCUUGUUACAAAUAACUGUUCUUUUUUCCUUGAUUGUUACUUUCACAGUUUUUUAGCACUACAAGCAUUAUUGUUCCAGUUUUUUCUUUAUGUAUUGAUCAUGCCCUUAUUUUUUCUGCCUUUGUAGCUGAAAGAUUAGUGAGACAGACUGAAUUCUGAACAUGUAUCAUCUGUUCCAUGUGAGAGAAAUCGCAUGUGGAUAUCAUCUUGAAAUAAUCACAGCUGGGGGGACGAGGUUGGUAGCUGAGGGUGAUGUGCAGAACGGGAGGAAGGAGGUGUGAGGCUUGGAACUCUCCUUGUGAAGUGCUCAGGGACAGCGGUGAGGAGCAUGGCAGGUGUCCAACCUGACCUCCUCGGCAACAGCAACAAGGGUGGCCGCGGCGACAAGGGAGGAGACGACAACCAGCAGAGCAAUGAGAUCGCUAAGUCUCUGAUCCCGUCACUUCCUGCUCGAUUCGCUUGGCUCCUGUGCUGAUUUCUCUUUGGUUUCCCAGGUUUGUUGUGGUUGCAGGAUGGCGCAGAGGAAUUGGGAAGCGGACUAUGGACAUGAUGCGUGAUGUGCACAUCCAUGACUAUUUUCUCAAGUGAAACAUCCAAACGGCCAACCUGUUCAUGGUGGAGGGGGCCAUGCCUGCUAAGUCCUCCAAUUCAUGCUCAGGCUGGCGGCUGGGGCGAGCUGACCACGAUGCUCUGCGAAGGCGAGUUCUCCAUGGAAUUCACACAACAUUCCAGCGUUCUCGUUGGCAGGUCUCUGCUCUUCUCCAUGUCCACGGGGACAGUGCGUCGAUCGUGGAGCAUGACCUGGCAAGUCGCGAACUGACUCUGCUAGGCCAACCAGACAAGCACUAUAAGCACAGAUGCUGUCAAGGAUGGGGAUUUUUGUCAACGCCUUUGAAUGCGUCAGCCACGACCUCAAGAUCAGGGCUCCUUGUUAUGGAGAAGGUGCUCUCGAGGGUGUAGCACACUCAACAAACAUGGAUGUGCCUUGCUAUCCAAAGAUUCUCCUAGUGAUGUUCCUAAGAGGGCACCAAAUGAAGAAUCGGCGAAGGGUACAACCCGCAAAGAUGAUGCUGGGAACCUUUGACCUCUGAUAGCAAUGUUGAUGGUGCUUCGCCUUCAGAGAAGAAAGUAGAAACCACGAAGUUGGUAACCAAUGCUAUCAAGGAAGGGGACUUUGUCAACACCUUUCGGACCAGUAAAUCAGGCACAUAAGCAGCUGUCCGACGAGGGAACCAAUCCUAUCAAGGAAGGGGACUUUGUCAACACCUUUGAAUGCGUCAGCCACGACCUCAAGAUCAGGCUGGUGAGUUUUUCUAUUCAGCUCAAAGAAGCGCUGUAGCUCAAGAGAGGCAAUUGGUAGCAAAUCAGUCUGGUCAGAAUUCACCGUAGAGUCCUUAGAGCAGCUGAAAGAUUAGUGAGACUGUCUGAUGCUGAACAUGUACCAUCUGUUCCAUGCGAGAGAAAUAGCAUGUCGAUAUCAUCUUGAAAUAAUCACAGCUGGGGAGACGAGGUUGGUAGCUGAGGGUGAUGUGCAGAGCGGGAGGAAGGAGGUGUGAGGCUUGGAACUCUCCUUGUGAAGUGCUCAGGGACAGCGGUGAGGAGCAUGGCAGGUGUCCAACUUGACCUCCUCGGCCAUAGCAACAACAAGGGUGGCCGUGGCAACAAGGGAGGAGACAACAACCAGCAGAGCAAUGAGAUCGCUAAGUCUCUGAUCCCGCCACUUCCUGCUCGAUUCGCUUGGCUCCUGCGCUGAUUUCUCUUUGUUUUCCCAGGUUUGUUGUGGUUGCAGAAUGGCGCAGAGCAACUGGGAAGCGGACUACGUCUACGGACAUGAUGCGUGAUGUACACAUCCAUCACUACUAUUUGCUCAAGUGGAUCAUCCAAACUGCCAACCUGUUCAUGGUGGAGGGGGCGAUGCCUGCUAAGUCCUCCAAUUCAUGCUCAGGUGCAACCUGGAAUGAUUGGGUUUAUGACAUUGGGUGCCAGUAUAAUUCUCAUGCUGACGACAAUUAUUGUUUUGACGAGGAUUCAGUGGUUGUCUGUGGCAUGUGUUCAACUAGGAACUCAUCAUUAUUGGAGUCUUUCAUCUUUAUAUACCAAAGCAAGGCGGGAGAAGAAGCAGAUUGAUUGAUGAAGGAAACACAUGAAAAAGAGGAAAAGACCAGCUAAAUGAUUGAUGGGGCCUGUGACCUAUCCCUGUUGGUUCUCCUUUCCGCAAAUUAAACCAAUAAUCGACAUUGUCAGUUUGAGAGUAUGCUGGAUGUGAGAAUUAAUGAAGAAGAUCACUCAUGCUGUUGAAAGUACACAAGCAGUCACUGUUAAGGUCUACCGAAAAACAUGUAGAUAUGUUUGGGAGCCUUUGUUGUAGCCAACAAAUUGUUCCUCAGAAAUUUAUAUUUAGUUCUGGUGAUUAAAUAUAAAGCAAUGCCUCUUGAAGUAGUUCCUAAGAAUCUUCUACAGGACAUAUGUUUUUGACAAAGUCUACAUGACAUAUGACUAAGACAAGACUCAUGCCAUAAGGUUCUCCAAAAUUCUUUGUUCAAGCAGAAAAACCUUUUUACACAACAACCUCAUUUUUCUCCAGUUUGGGGAUGACAACAGUUCUACUCACAAUGGUGCUGCAUGCUGGAAGUACUCAUUAUCCUGUUGGCUCUACUCUGGGUUCCAUAUUAUGGAGAAGGUGUUCUGGAUGGUCCUAACAAGCUCAUAAACAUGGAUGUGUCUUGCUACCCUCCAGGUGAUGUUCCUAAGACGGGAACCAAAUGAAGAAUCAGUGAAGGGUACAACCAAUAAAGAUGAUGCCGGGAACUUGACGACCUCUGAUAGCAAUGUUAUCGGUGCUCCACCUCCGGAGAAAGCAUGUGGAAGAUCAUUUCCUUUGUUCUCUGAAUUACAUGCACUUUGGUGAACAAAAAGUAUGAUUGGUGUUCCUGGUGAAAAUGAGUGAAGCUAGAAGAUGCUAUGAGAAGGAACUUGCCAAGACUAUUUGAAGAACAGCCUGAUCUCCUGCAUGAGGGGCUCUUUUGUGUGUGCAGGACAAUCCCAACGAUUGUCCAUUCAUUUCAUCCGUCGUGUACAUCUUGGAGAACGGAAGUGCCAAACUUCAUGUCCCGAACCAACCGGUAUAUUCUGCACCUACAAAUAGCAAAGUAGAGCAUGCAACAGGCAAUACUCAAAAUUCGAAGAAUAUGCCAACUUACAGUUCUAGAGAGAAGAUAGGCCAGUUAUCACAUUACAAGAUAUUUUGUAAAGGGGGGCUCAG
RNA transcript from Triticum aestivum (bread wheat), 3313 nucleotides. RefSeq lists it as uncharacterized. The transcript has 15 exons. Lineage: Eukaryota; Viridiplantae; Streptophyta; Magnoliopsida; Poales; Poaceae. The record is from RefSeq and is a predicted model, not a curated record.